RNAcentral lists this transfer RNA (76 nucleotides) under Paenibacillus thiaminolyticus. RNAcentral describes it as "tRNA-Thr". It matches the Rfam family "tRNA". From Rfam's summary of the family: Transfer RNA (tRNA) molecules are approximately 80 nucleotides in length. Their secondary structure includes four short double-helical elements and three loops (D, anti-codon, and T loops). Lineage: Bacteria; Bacillati; Bacillota; Bacilli; Caryophanales; Paenibacillaceae. The record is from RNAcentral.
GCUGGUGUAGCUCAGGGGGUAGAGCAACGCACUCGUAAUGCGUAGGUCGGGGGUUCAAUUCCCUUCACCAGCACCA